Molecule: long non-coding RNA, 4584 nt
Filed under: Homo sapiens (human)
Lineage: Eukaryota; Metazoa; Chordata; Mammalia; Primates; Hominidae
Description: HSALNT0288644
Source: RNAcentral
AUCUCAGCCAUCAUAAAGCCAGUCUAACAUGACUUGCAUAUUUAGCAUGUUAACUGCUUCAUUUGGGGAGCUUCAAUAGGUAUUGAGGGAUAAGAAAAAAAGAACCAUUUUGGAAAAACUCAGGCUGCACCUGCACACAGAUAAGCAAUUUGUAUAAUUAGUGAAAUCCUAGGGAAAAAAAAAAGGUAUCUCCCUUUCAGGCAUAUAUGUGGUGGAAAUAUGCACAGGGCUGAGGAUGGCUUAUCAAAAACAACCCACUUUAUACAAGGAAAAUAAGUGGCACUGUGUGCUUGCCUGGAGGCAUACCCACAGCUACAUAAGAUAAGGGGAGUUGCACACACAGGUUUACUGAUAAGAGAAGUUACUCAAACUGCUACAGACAUGAGAGGAGUUUCUUAUAAAAGCUUUCGAAUUCAGAUGUAACCCAGCAAUGCACUCAGACUCCUCUCUGCUGUGGAGAGCUUUUUUUUUUUUUUUUCAUAUUAAACUUUCACUCCAACUUUAUCUUUGUGUUUACAAUUCUUAAUUUUUUUGUCUUGGAUAAAGAACAAAAAACCUGGAGUACUUCUUCAGACAACAAGAAACUUCCAAAUUAAGGUGCAUUGGCAAGAAUGCAACAUAUUUUGAUCCAUUGGCUUGGAAGGAGGGAAUUCAUCAGAAGGGAGUGAAGACUGAUUUUGCAGAGCCAAUAAAGGCCCCUGGGGAAACUGGCCUCAUAUCUUGUCAUGAAGAUUUUAUACAGGUUUCCUAACCUGUGUGCUCACUGCUGCAAAGAAGAACAAGCACACAGGCAAAAAGUUUUCCCAGCAAGAAUGCCAGGGUGAAAGGAAAGAUCAAUUGGACCAGAGCACAAGUGCUGCUCCAGUUACUUGGCAGAGUACCUAAUAGUGAUCCACCACAAUACCACCAUAUAUCUGUUUGGGAAUAAACAAGGGCAAGUUGACUGCUUAAGAGUGAUGACAUGCAACUCAGUCUCUUGCAACACCACCUGAGAAAAGGAAGCACUAGCAGGAAGAACAAAUUGAUGGAGAGGAAAAGUGAUGAAUACAGAUAAGAAGCACAGCUGGUGGAGGCUCAUGUGCCAGUUUACUGGGCCUCAGGACAUUCUCCUCUAGAAGGAGGAGACAGCAUGACCCCCACUUUCUUUUAUUUUAUUAUAAUUUAAGUUUUAGGGUACAUGAGCACAAUGUGCAGGUUAGUUACAUAUGUAUACAUGUGCCAUGCUGGUGUGCUACAGCCAUUAACUCAUCAUUUAGCAUUAGGUAUAUCUCCUAAUGCUAUCCCUCCCCCCUACCCCUACCCCACAACAGCCCCCAGAGUGUGAUGUUCCCCUUCCUGUGUCCAUGUGUUCUCAUUGUUCAAUUCACACCUAUGAGUGAGAAUAUGUGGUGUUUGGUUUUUUGUCCUUGUGAUAGUUUACUGAGAAUGAUGAUUUCCAAUUUCAUCCAUGUCCCUACAAAGGACAUGAACUCAUCAUUUUUUAUGGCUGCAUAAUAUCCCAUGGUGUGUAUGUGCCCCAUUUUCUUAAUCCAGUCUAUCAUUGUUGGGCAUUUGGGUUGGUUCCAAGUCUUUGCUAUUGUGAAUAGUGCCGCAAUAAAUGUACGUGUGCAUAUGUCUUUAUAGCAGCAUGAUUUAUAGUCCUUUGGGUAUAUACCCAGUAAUGGGAUGGCUGGGUCAAAUGGUAUUUCUAGUUCUAGAUCCCUGAGAAAUCACCAAACUGACUUCGACAAUGGUUGAACUAGUUUACAGUCCCACCAACAGUGUUAGUCCAUUUACAUUUAAAGUUAAUAUUAUUAUGUGUGAAUUUGAUCCUGUCAUUAUGAUGUUAGCUGGUUAUUUUGCUCGUUAGUUGAUGCAGUUUCUUCCUAGCUUUGAAGGUCUUUACAAUUUGGCAUGGUUUUGCAGUGGCUGAUACCGGUUUUUCCUUUCCAUGUUUAGUGCUUCCUUCAGGAGCUCUUUUAGAGCAGUAAUCUCUCAGCAUUUGCUUGUCUGUAAAGUAUUUUAUUUCUCCUUCACUUAAGAAGCUUAGUUUGGCUGGAUAUGAAAUUCUGGAUUGAAAAUUCUUUUCUUUAAGAAUGUUGAAUAUUGGCCCCCACUCUCUUCUGGCUUGCAGAGUUUCUGCCAAGACAUCAGCUGUUAGUCUGAUGGGCUUCCCUUUGUGGGUAACCUGACCUUUCUCUCUGGCUGCCCUUAACAUUUUUUCCAUCAUGUCAACUUUGGUGAAUCUGACAAUUAUGUGUCUUGGAGUUGCUCUUCUUCAGGAGUAUCUUCAUGGCAUUCUCUGUAUUUCCUGAAUCUGAAUGUUGGCCUACCUUGCUAGAUUGGCGAAGUUCUCCUGCAGAGUGUUUUCCAACUUGGUUCCAUUCUCCGCAUCACUUUCAGGUACACCAAUGAGACGUAGAUUUGGUCUUUUCACAUAGUCCCAUAUUUCUUGGAGGCUUUGUUCGUUUCUUUGUAUUCUUUUUUCUCUAAACUUCCCUUCUUGCUUCAUUUCAUUCAUUUCAUCUUCCAUCACUGAUACCCUUUCUUCCAGUUGAUUGCAUCAGCUCCUGAGGCUUCCUCAUUCUUCACGUAGUUCUCAAGCCUUGGCUUUCAGCUCCAUCAGCUCUUUUAAGCACUUCUCUGUAUUGGUUAUUCUAGUUAUACAUUCGUCUAAAUUUUUUUCAAAGUUUUCAACUUCUUUGCCUUUGAUUUGAAUUUCCUCCUGUAGCUCGAAGUAGUUUGAUCGUCUGAAGCCUUCUUCUCUCAACUCGUCAAAAUCAUUCUCCAUCCAGCUUUGUUCCAUUGCUGGUGAAGAAUUGCGUUCCUUUGGAGGAGGAGAGGCGCUCUGCUUUUUAGAGUUUCCAGUUUUUCUGCUGUGUUUUUUCCCCAUCUUCGUGGGUUUAACUACUUUUGGUCUUUGAUGAUGGUGAUGUACAGAUGGGUUUUUGGUGUGGAUGUCCUUUCUGUUUGUUAGUUUUCCUUCUAACAGACAGGACCCUCAGCUGCAGGUCUGUUGGAGUUUUCUAGAGGACCACUCCAGAUCCCGUUUGCCUGGGUAUCAGCAGCGGUGGCUGCAGAACAGCAGAUUUUCAUGAACCACGAAUGCUGCUGUCUGAUGGCUCCUCUGGAAGUUUUGUCUCAGAGGAGUACCUGGCCAUGUGAGGUGUCAGUCUGCCCCUACUGGGGGGGUGCCCCCCAGUUAGGCUGCUCGGGACCCCCAAUUUGUUUGUGUAUCUCAGGGUGAGUUUGUGCCAUUUUCUGUUAGCCUUAUUGGUCUCUGUGUCUGUGGUGCACUUCAUUCAUCAGCGUCUGUGUUUGUUUGCAUUUUUUACUUGUCUCUCCAUCUAUUUCUCUGAUUUUGUUACAUUUUACAUUUUAAGUUUCAUUAUAUUUUCCAUUCACAUAUUAUACAUGCACAACUAUAUGGCAGACCAUGUUAUUUUAAAACAUGCAUACAAUAUACCAAAUAAUGGUAUUUAUUCAUCUCCUCUAAUGUUCCUCGUGAUUAGAACCCUAGGAAUUCUCUCUUCUAUUUAGAAAUAUAUAAUGCAUUGUUAUUAAAAAUAGUGACCCUGCUGUGCAAUGGAAUACCAUUGCUUCUUUUUUUUCAAUUUAACUACUUUUUUUGUAUUUAUUUACCAACUUCUUCCUAUCCCUACAUUUCUAAUUCUUUCUAGACCCCCAUAACCACUAUUCUUCCCUAUAAUUCUAUGAGAAAAUUUUUUAGAUUCCACAUAUAGGUCAGAUAAUGUGUUAUUUUUAUUCCUACACCUAGGUUAUUUUGCUUAGUUACAUGUAAAGGAAUAUACAUGGUAUGUGGCAUGGCAAAUGAUAAAAGUUCAUUUUUAAUAGAUAUAUACUAUUUCAUUGUGUGUGUGUGUACAUAUACCACAUUUUAAAUUCAUUUGUCUGUUUAUGAACAUCCAGGUUUAAUAUUGUAUUGUUCAUGGUGAAUAGUGCUGUAAUAAACAAAAAAGAGCAAAUAUUUAUUUGACAUGCUAAUUUUCUUUCCCUUGCCUACAUACUCAGUGGUGCAGAUUGUUCAGUCAUGUGGAAACUUUCAUGUAAAUUUUUUAGAGAUCUACAGAAUGUCUUCCAUACUGAUUCUACUAAUUUACAUUCCAUCCAAGAGGAUGUUUUGUGCAGUUCCCCACUUUUCUUUUCUCCACAUCCCUGGCAAUACUUGUUAUUCUUUUGCAAUUUUUAGUUAUAUCCAUUAUUAUUCUAAUAGAUUCACUGAGCUGAAAGGACUUGUCAUAUUUUCUUAUGGGUUUUCCUGGCAUUUCUCCAAUAAAAAUUAUGUUGAACUUUUAUUUAGAAAUGUGUUGGAAGUAUCUGUGUCAUUUUUGGAGAAAUGUCUAUUUACAUCUUUUGAACAUUUUUAAUUAGAAAAUUUUUGGCUAUUGUUUCUUAUUUGUUCUGGAUACUAAGUUUUUUUCUUUUUUUUCCUUUUGUUUUGGAGAUGGAGUCUUACUCUGUCACCCAGGCUGGAGUGCAGUGAUGCAACCUUGGCUCACGGCAACCUCUGCUUCCCAGAUCAAACGAUUCUCCUACCUCAGCCUCCUGAGUAGCUGGGAUUACAGGUGUGUGCCACCACACCCA